RNAcentral lists this ribosomal RNA (405 nucleotides) under uncultured prokaryote. RNAcentral's name for it is "bacterial SSU rRNA". It matches the Rfam family "Bacterial small subunit ribosomal RNA", at positions 355 to 776 of the family's 1533-position model. The record is from RNAcentral. RNAcentral also lists the same sequence under 1 other name.
UGGGGAAUAUUGGGCAAUGGGCGAAAGCCUGACCCAGCAACGCCGCGUGAAGGAAGAAGGCCUUCGGGUUGUAAACUUCUUUGACCAGGGACGAAGAAUGACGGUACCUGGAAAACAAGCCACGGCUAACUACGUGCCAGCAGCCGCGGUAAUACGUAGGUGGCGAGCGUUGUCCGGAUUUACUGGGUGUAAAGGGCGUGUAGGCGGGAAUGCAAGUCAGAUGUGAAACCCAUGGGCUCAACCCAUGGCCUGCAUUUGAAACUGUGUUUCUUGAGUGAUGGAGAGGCAGGCGGAAUUCCUCGUGUAGCGGUGAAAUGCAUAGAUAUGAGGAGGAACACCAGUGGCGAAGGCGGCCUGCUGGACAUUAACUGACGCUGAGGCGCGAAAGCGUGGGGAGCAAACAGG